This 221-nucleotide ribosomal RNA is filed under the name uncultured bacterium. RNAcentral describes it as "partial 16S ribosomal RNA". It matches the Rfam family "Bacterial small subunit ribosomal RNA", at positions 118 to 340 of the family's 1533-position model. The record is from RNAcentral.
UGAGCAAUCUGCCCUUCACAUCGGAAUAACCAUUGGAAACGACGGCUAAUACCGAAUAUGACUUCGGAUCGCAUGAUCUGAAGUGGAAAGCUCCGGCGGUGAAGGAUGAGCUCGCGGCCUAUCAGCUUGUUGGUGAGGUAAUAGCUCACCAAGGCGAUGACGGGUAGCCGGCCUGAGAGGGUGACCGGCCACACUGGGACUGAGACACGGCCCAGACUCCG